CAGCCGCCGCGGUAAUACGUAGGUGGCAAGCGUUGUCCGGAAUUAUUGGGCGUAAAGGGCUCGCAGGCGGUUUCUUAAGUCUGAUGUGAAAGCCCCCGGCUCAACCGGGGAAGGUCAUUGGAAACUGGGAAACUUGAGUGCAGAAGAGGAGAGUGGAAUUCCACGUGUAGCGGUGAAAUGCGUAGAGAUGUGGAGGAACACCAGUGGCGAAGGCGACUCUCUGGUCUGUAACUGACGCUGAGGAGCGAAAGCGUGGGGAGCGAACAGGAUUAGAUACCCGCGUAGUCCCUGUCUCUUAUAC
Molecule: ribosomal RNA, 301 nt
Filed under: uncultured bacterium
Lineage: Bacteria
Description: partial 16S ribosomal RNA
Rfam family: Bacterial small subunit ribosomal RNA
Source: RNAcentral